This 301-nucleotide ribosomal RNA is filed under the name uncultured bacterium. Its description in RNAcentral is "partial 16S ribosomal RNA". It matches the Rfam family "Bacterial small subunit ribosomal RNA", at positions 509 to 807 of the family's 1533-position model. The record is from RNAcentral.
CAGUAUCCGCGGGAAUACGUAGGUGGCAAGCGUUGUCCGGAAUUAUUGGGCGUAAAGGGCUCGCAGGCGGUUUCUUAAGUCUGAUGUGAAAGCCCCCGGCUCAACCGGGGAGGGUCAUUGGAAACUGGGAAACUUGAGUGCAGAAGAGGAGAGUGGAAUUCCACGUGUAGCGGUGAAAUGCGUAGAGAUGUGGAGGAACACCAGUGGCGAAGGCGACUCUCUGGUCUGUAACUGACGCUGAGGAGCGAAAGCGUAGGGAGCGAACAGGAUUAGAUACCCCAGUAGUCCCUGUCUCUUAUAC